UUGGGAAUCUUGCGCAAUGGGCGAAAGCCUGACGCAGCGACGCCGCGUGCGGGAUGACAGUCUUCGGAUUGUAAACCGCUUUUCCCAGGGACGAUAAUGACGGUACCUGGGGAAUCAGCCCCGGCUAACUCCGUGCCAGCAGCCGCGGUAAGACGGAGGGGGCUAGCGUUGUCCGGAAUUACUGGGCGUAAAGCGCAUGUAGGCGGUCGCGUACGGCGGUGGUGAAAGCUCCCGGCUCAACUGGGAGAGGCCCAUCGCAACGGCGUGACUCGAGGGUGGUAGAGGUCUAUGGAAUUCCUGGUGUAGCGGUGAAAUGCGUAGAGAUCAGGAGGAACACCCGUGGCGAAGGCGGUAGGCUGGGCCACACCUGACGCUGAGAUGCGAAAGCGCGGGGAGCGAACGGG
Molecule: ribosomal RNA, 404 nt
Filed under: uncultured bacterium
Lineage: Bacteria
Description: bacterial SSU rRNA
Rfam family: Bacterial small subunit ribosomal RNA
Source: RNAcentral